Molecule: non-coding RNA, 136 nt
Organism: Ornithorhynchus anatinus (platypus)
Lineage: Eukaryota; Metazoa; Chordata; Mammalia; Monotremata; Ornithorhynchidae
Source: Rfam
CCCCUCUCGGGAUUGCACCUGGAGAGUUUCCAGUACUCUACCAGUCUCGGCUAUGGGAGGGAGUCAAGCAGAGGCCUACCCAUUCCAUUCUUAGCUUGGGCAGUGACUAACGAGUGGCAGGCAAUCUGCUACAGGU